CUGGGGUUGUGGCUCAGUUGUAGAGCGCUUGUCUAGCAUGCAUGAGGCACUGGCUUCAAUCCCGGAACCACAUA
Molecule: transfer RNA, 74 nt
Filed under: Marmota monax (woodchuck)
Lineage: Eukaryota; Metazoa; Chordata; Mammalia; Rodentia; Sciuridae
Description: tRNA.Ala
Rfam family: tRNA (bases 3-64)
About the family: Transfer RNA (tRNA) molecules are approximately 80 nucleotides in length. Their secondary structure includes four short double-helical elements and three loops (D, anti-codon, and T loops). Further hydrogen bonds mediate the characteristic L-shaped molecular structure. tRNAs have two regions of fundamental functional importance: the anti-codon, which is responsible for specific mRNA codon recognition, and the 3' end, to which the tRNAs corresponding amino acid is attached (by aminoacyl-tRNA synthetases). tRNAs cope with the degeneracy of the genetic code in two manners: having more than one tRNA (with a specific anti-codon) for a particular amino acid; and 'wobble' base-pairing, i.e. permitting non-standard base-pairing at the 3rd anti-codon position.
Source: RNAcentral